This 465-nucleotide ribosomal RNA is filed under the name uncultured bacterium. RNAcentral's name for it is "partial 16S ribosomal RNA". It matches the Rfam family "Bacterial small subunit ribosomal RNA", at positions 28 to 507 of the family's 1533-position model. The record is from RNAcentral.
GACGAACGCUGGCGGCGUGCUUAACACAUGCAAGUCGAACGGAAAGGCCCUGCUUGCAGGGUACUCGAGUGGCGAACGGGUGAGUAACACGUGGGUGAUCUGCCCUGCACUUCGGGAUAAGCCUGGGAAACUGGGUCUAAUACCGGAUAGGAGCCAUUUUUAGUGUGAUGGUUGGAAAGUUUUUUCGGUGUAGGAUGAGCUCGCGGCCUAUCAGCUUGUUGGUGGGGUAAUGGCCUACCAAGGCGGCGACGGGUAGCCGGCCUGAGAGGGUGGACGGCCACAUUGGGACUGAGAUACGGCUCAGCCUCCUACGGGAGGCAGCAGUGGGGAAUAUUGCACAAUGGGCGCAAGCCUGAUGCAGCGACGCCGCGUGGGGGAUGACGGCCUUCGGGUUGUAAACUCCUUUCGCUAGGGACGAAGCUUUUUGUGACGGUACCUAGAUAAGAAGCACCGGCUAACUACGUG